UUAAGUUAUUAAGGGCGCACGGUGGAUGCCUUGGCACUAGAAGCCGAUGAAGGACGUUACUAACGACGAUAUGCUUUGGGGAGCUGUAAGUAAGCUUUGAUCCAGAGAUUUCCGAAUGGGGAAACCCAGCAUGAGUUAUGUCAUGUUAUCGAUAUGUGAAUACAUAGCAUAUCAGAAGGCACACCCGGAGAACUGAAACAUCUUAGUACCCGGAGGAAGAGAAAGAAAAUUCGAUUCCCUUAGUAGCGGCGAGCGAAACGGGAAGAGCCCAAACCAACAAGCUUGCUUGUUGGGGUUGUAGGACACUCUAUACGGAGUUACAAAGGACGACAUUAGACGAAUCAUCUGGAAAGAUGAAUCAAAGAAGGUAAUAAUCCUGUAGUCGAAAAUGUUGUCUCUCUUGAGUGGAUCCUGAGUACGACGGAGCACGUGAAAUUCCGUUGGAAUCUGGGAGGACCAUCUCCUAAGGCUAAAUACUCUCUAGUGACCGAUAGUGAACCAGUACCGUGAGGGAAAGGUGAAAAGCACCCCGGAAGGGGAGUGAAAUAGAACCUGAAACCGUGUGCUUACAAGUAGUCAGAGCCCGUUAAUGGGUGAUGGCGUGCCUUUUGUAGAAUGAACCGGCGAGUUACGAUUUGAUGCAAGGUUAAGCAGUAAAUGUGGAGCCGUAGCGAAAGCGAGUCUGAAUAGGGCGUUUAGUAUUUGGUUGUAGACCCGAAACCAGGUGAUCUACCCUUGGUCAGGUUGAAGUUCAGGUAACACUGAAUGGAGGACCGAACCGACUUACGUUGAAAAGUGAGCGGAUGAACUGAGGGUAGCGGAGAAAUUCCAAUCGAACCUGGAGAUAGCUGGUUCUCUCCGAAAUAGCUUUAGGGCUAGCCUCAAGUGAUGAUUAUUGGAGGUAGAGCACUGUUUGGACGAGGGGCCCCUCUCGGGUUACCGAAUUCAGACAAACUCCGAAUGCCAAUUAAUUUAACUUGGGAGUCAGAACAUGGGUGAUAAGGUCCGUGUUCGAAAGGGAAACAGCCCAGACCACCAGCUAAGGUCCCAAAAUAUAUGUUAAGUGGAAAAGGAUGUGGCGUUGCCCAGACAACUAGGAUGUUGGCUUAGAAGCAGCCAUCAUUUAAAGAGUGCGUAAUAGCUCACUAGUCGAGUGACACUGCGCCGAAAAUGUACCGGGGCUAAACAUAUUACCGAAGCUGUGGAUUGUCCUUUGGACAAUGGUAGGAGAGCGUUCUAAGGGCGUUGAAGCAUGAUCGUAAGGACAUGUGGAGCGCUUAGAAGUGAGAAUGCCGGUGUGAGUAGCGAAAGACGGGUGAGAAUCCCGUCCACCGAUUGACUAAGGUUUCCAGAGGAAGGCUCGUCCGCUCUGGGUUAGUCGGGUCCUAAGCUGAGGCCGACAGGCGUAGGCGAUGGAUAACAGGUUGAUAUUCCUGUACCACCUAUAAUCGUUUUAAUCGAUGGGGGGACGCAGUAGGAUAGGCGAAGCGUGCGAUUGGAUUGCACGUCUAAGCAGUAAGGCUGAGUAUUAGGCAAAUCCGGUACUCAUUAAGGCUGAGCUGUGAUGGGGAGAAGACAUUGUGUCUUCGAGUCGUUGAUUUCACACUGCCGAGAAAAGCCUCUAGAUAGAAAAUAGGUGCCCGUACCGCAAACCGACACAGGUAGUCAAGAUGAGAAUUCUAAGGUGAGCGAGCGAACUCUCGUUAAGGAACUCGGCAAAAUGACCCCGUAACUUCGGGAGAAGGGGUGCUCUUUAGGGUUAACGCCCAGAAGAGCCGCAGUGAAUAGGCCCAAGCGACUGUUUAUCAAAAACACAGGUCUCUGCUAAACCGUAAGGUGAUGUAUAGGGGCUGACGCCUGCCCGGUGCUGGAAGGUUAAGAGGAGUGGUUAGCUUCUGCGAAGCUACGAAUCGAAGCCCCAGUAAACGGCGGCCGUAACUAUAACGGUCCUAAGGUAGCGAAAUUCCUUGUCGGGUAAGUUCCGACCCGCACGAAAGGCGUAACGAUUUGGGCACUGUCUCAACGAGAGACUCGGUGAAAUCAUAGUACCUGUGAAGAUGCAGGUUACCCGCGACAGGACGGAAAGACCCCGUGGAGCUUUACUGUAGCCUGAUAUUGAAAUUCGGCACAGCUUGUACAGGAUAGGUAGGAGCCUUUGAAACGUGAGCGCUAGCUUACGUGGAGGCGCUGGUGGGAUACUACCCUAGCUGUGUUGGCUUUCUAACCCGCACCACUUAUCGUGGUGGGAGACAGUGUCAGGCGGGCAGUUUGACUGGGGCGGUCGCCUCCUAAAAGGUAACGGAGGCGCUCAAAGGUUCCCUCAGAAUGGUUGGAAAUCAUUCAUAGAGUGUAAAGGCAUAAGGGAGCUUGACUGCGAGACCUACAAGUCGAGCAGGGUCGAAAGACGGACUUAGUGAUCCGGUGGUUCCGUAUGGAAGGGCCAUCGCUCAACGGAUAAAAGCUACCCCGGGGAUAACAGGCUUAUCUCCCCCAAGAGUUCACAUCGACGGGGAGGUUUGGCACCUCGAUGUCGGCUCAUCGCAUCCUGGGGCUGUAGUCGGUCCCAAGGGUUGGGCUGUUCGCCCAUUAAAGCGGUACGCGAGCUGGGUUCAGAACGUCGUGAGACAGUUCGGUCCCUAUCCGUCGUGGGCGUAGGAAAUUUGAGAGGAGCUGUCCUUAGUACGAGAGGACCGGGAUGGACAUACCUCUGGUGUACCAGUUGUCGUGCCAACGGCAUAGCUGGGUAGCUAUGUGUGGACGGGAUAAGUGCUGAAAGCAUCUAAGCAUGAAGCCCCCCUCAAGAUGAGAUUUCCCAACUUCGGUUAUAAGAUCCCUCAAAGAUGAUGAGGUUAAUAGGUUCGAGGUGGAAGCAUGGUGACAUGUGGAGCUGACGAAUACUAAUCGAUCGAAGACUUAAUCAA
This 2921-nucleotide ribosomal RNA is filed under the name Staphylococcus aureus VET0325R. RNAcentral describes it as "bacterial LSU rRNA". It matches the Rfam family "Bacterial large subunit ribosomal RNA". Lineage: Bacteria; Bacillati; Bacillota; Bacilli; Caryophanales; Staphylococcaceae. The record is from RNAcentral.